GAUGAACGCUGGCGGCGUGCCUAAUACAUGCAAGUCGAGCGAACAGACGAGGAGCUUGCUCCUCUGGCGUUAGCGGCGGACGGGUGAGUAACACGUGGAUAACCUACCUAUAAGACUGGGAUGACUUCGGGAAACCGGAGCUAAUACCGGAUAAUAUAUUGAACCGCAUGGUUCAAUAGUGAAAGACGGUUUUGCUGUCACUUAUAGAUGGAUCCGCGCCGCAUUAGCUAGUUGGUAAGGUAACGGCUUACCAAGGCAACGAUGCGUAGCCGACCUGAGAGGGUGAUCGGCCACACUGGAACUGAGACACGGUCCAGACUCCUACGGGAGGCAGCAGUAGGGAAUCUUCCGCAAUGGGCGAAAGCUUGACGGAGCAACGCCGCGUGAGUGAUGAAGGUCUUCGGAUCGUAAAACUCUGUUAUUAGGGAAGAACAAAUGUGUAAGUAACUAUGCACGUCUUGACGGUACCUAAUCAGAAAGCCACGGCUAACUACGUG
Molecule: ribosomal RNA, 497 nt
Filed under: uncultured bacterium
Lineage: Bacteria
Description: partial 16S ribosomal RNA
Rfam family: Bacterial small subunit ribosomal RNA
Source: RNAcentral